Molecule: ribosomal RNA, 493 nt
Filed under: uncultured bacterium
Lineage: Bacteria
Description: partial 16S ribosomal RNA
Rfam family: Bacterial small subunit ribosomal RNA
Source: RNAcentral
GACGAACGCUGGCGGCGUGCUUAACACAUGCAAGUCGAACGCUGAAGCCCUUUCGGGGGUGGAUGAGUGGCGAACGGGUGAGUAACACGUGGGUAAUCUGCCCUGUACUUCGGGAUAAGCCUUGGAAACGGGGCCUAAUACCGGAUAGGACCUGUCCUCGCAUGGGGGUGGGUGGAAAGUUCCGGCGGUAUGGGAUGAGCCCGCGGCCUAUCAGCUUGUUGGUGGGGUAGUGGCCUACCAAGGCGACGACGGGUAGCCGGCCUGAGAGGGUGGCCGGUCACACUGGGACUGAGACACGGCCCAGACUCCUACGGGAGGCAGCAGUGGGGAAUCUUGCGCAAUGGGCGAAAGCCUGACGCAGCAACGCCGCGUGGGGGAUGACGGCCUUCGGGUUGUAAACCUCUUUCGACAUCGACGAAGGGGCCCUGUUGUGGGGUUUUGACGGUAGGUGUAGAAGAAGCACCGGCUAACUACGUGCCAGCCGCCGCCGUAA